This 29-nucleotide non-coding RNA is filed under the name Rattus norvegicus (Norway rat). The record is from RNAcentral. Lineage: Eukaryota; Metazoa; Chordata; Mammalia; Rodentia; Muridae.
UGAUGAAUAAGGAUGAAGUCACUAGAGAC